AUGAUGAAGUAUGAGGCUAUGACUGACUCCCACUUCGAGAAUCUAUACAAGUACAGAGAGACAUGGGUGCCAUGCUACUUCAAGCAUCAAUUCUUCCCUUUCUUGGAGUCAACUCAACGCAGCGAGGGGUUCAACGCUGUCCUUAAGCGAUAUGUGAACCCACACAAGUCCAUUUUGAACUUUGUGAAGCAAUAUCAGAAAAUCCAAACACACAUACUAGUCCAGGAGGGUUCAAAAGACUACAGGACAGGACAUUUACAGACUGAAAUGUGGUCAUCUUACCCAAUAGAGAAGCAAGCGUACGAUUCGUAUACUAGGGACUUAUACGAGAAGUUUCGUGAUGACUUUCAGUUGACUACAAGGUACAAUGUGUGA
This 375-nucleotide ribosomal RNA is filed under the name Triticum aestivum (bread wheat). RNAcentral's name for it is "partial small subunit ribosomal RNA". Lineage: Eukaryota; Viridiplantae; Streptophyta; Magnoliopsida; Poales; Poaceae. The record is from RNAcentral.